GUGCUCACUAUGGUGACACAUAUAUUAAAAUUUGAACAAUACACAGAAGAUUAGCAUGGCCCCUGCACAGGGCUGUCACACAAAUUCGUGAAAUAUUAUGUAUUUUU
Molecule: small nuclear RNA, 107 nt
Organism: Rhineura floridana
Lineage: Eukaryota; Metazoa; Chordata; Lepidosauria; Squamata; Rhineuridae
Source: RefSeq, a predicted model, not a curated record